CCUACGGGUGGCAGCAGUGGGGAAUAUUGGGCAAUGAGCGCAAGCCUGACCCAGCAACGCCGCGUGAAGGAAGAAGGCUUUCGGGUUGUAAACUUCUUUUAUAAGGGAAGAGCAUUAGCCUGUACCUCUUCUAUCAGACACGGCUCACUACGUCCCAACAGCCGCGCUAAUACGUAGGUCGCAAGCGUUGUCCUGAUUUACUGGGUGGAAAGGGCGUGCAGCCGGGAAGACAAGUCCGAGGUGAACUCCCGGGGGUCAACCGCGGAACUGCCGUUGAAACUGUUUUUCUUGAGUACGGGAGAGGUAAUCGGAAUUCCCUGUGUAGCGGUGAAAUGCGUAGAUAUAAGGAAGAACACCAGUGGCGAAGGCAGAUGACUGGACGGGAACUGACGGUGAGGCGCGAAAGCGUGGGGAGCAAACAGGAUUAGAUACCCGAGUAGUC
Molecule: ribosomal RNA, 442 nt
Filed under: uncultured bacterium
Lineage: Bacteria
Description: partial 16S ribosomal RNA
Rfam family: Bacterial small subunit ribosomal RNA
Source: RNAcentral